This 465-nucleotide ribosomal RNA is filed under the name uncultured Klebsiella sp. Its description in RNAcentral is "bacterial SSU rRNA". It matches the Rfam family "Bacterial small subunit ribosomal RNA", at positions 338 to 795 of the family's 1533-position model. Lineage: Bacteria; Pseudomonadati; Pseudomonadota; Gammaproteobacteria; Enterobacterales; Enterobacteriaceae. The record is from RNAcentral.
CCUACGGGAGGCUGCAGUGGGGAAUAUUGCACAAUGGGCGCAAGCCUGAUGCAGCCAUGCCGCGUGUGUGAAGAAGGCCUUCGGGUUGUAAAGCACUUUCAGCGGGGAGGAAGGCGUUAAGGUUAAUAACCUUGGCGAUUGACGUUACCCGCAGAAGAAGCACCGGCUAACUCCGUGCCAGCAGCCGCGGUAAUACGGAGGGUGCAAGCGUUAAUCGGAAUUACUGGGCGUAAAGCGCACGCAGGCGGUCUGUCAAGUCGGAUGUGAAAUCCCCGGGCUCAACCUGGGAACUGCAUUCGAAACUGGCAGGCUAGAGUCUUGUAGAGGGGGGUAGAAUUCCAGGUGUAGCGGUGAAAUGCGUAGAGAUCUGGCGGAAUACCGGUGGCGAAGGCGGCCCCCUGGACAAAGACUGACGCUCAGGUGCGAAAGCGUGGGGAGCAAGCAGGAUUAGAUACCCUAGUAGUC